GGGUAAGUCCUUGGCUGACAUUCUGUGUGUUACUCCAACAGCUUACCCAGACAAAACUGUUAUGUUGUAUUAUGUAAGAAUAAAUUGCCUGACUAUUACUAAAGGUUUUCCUUUACUGAGUUUUGUCUUACACGAGGUCAAAAAUGGUAUUACUAAAAAUACCAUCAUAUGGUGACCCGCCGACUGUGAUUCAUUUUUUUCCAGUCAAUUUUUUUCAGGCAAUGGAGGGCUCCAGGCUGGCUACUGGAGUGUACCCGAGGGGCGUUGUUCUCGGAUGUCGAUAGUUUACCCGUGGAUAUUUUCUUUUCCAGGACGGUUUCCCCGUAAAGCUUUACUUUAACGGAUGAUGGAUACACGCGCGUAAGUACCCCCCUGGGUGGGGUAUAUAUGUUUUUUCUAACUUCUUCUUUUUGCCUAUUGUUUUGUUAAUUGUUGUGUUAAUCAGCUGAAAUUAUCUGCCAUUCAUGAUAGGAAUCCGCAGUUUCCUUUCUGUUUUUGUAUUUUGUACGUCUCUUAUUCCUUAUCAUGAAGUGUAGUCUAAAACAUCUUGAAAUAGAAAUUACACGUGUACUGUAUGUUGUUUGAUGAAUGCAAAAGGAUCCAUGAAUGUUGAAUGUUUGCCUAGCAGGCCAGAAAUACGGAAAACUAGGUUUUCUGAAGGAAAUUCUGUAGAGUGUGAAGUGUGAAUCACUUUCCUGUCCGUUUGAAUUGUCAGAUGAAAAACGAGAGCCCUACAAACAUUUAGGUGUUGUCUGCAACGUCAAACCUAUUUUCUCCCUUUCCACUCARUUGUAAGCCUGUUCUAAAUUUACAGAKACUAAAGUAUAACAUCAUUUUUUCCUGCAGGUGACUCCAGUUUAUAUGUCUGUUUGUUUGCCCUGUUUGUUUUAUAAACCAAUGUUAAUAGCUCGCUGCUAAGCUUUUUUGCAUCCUACAGGUCUGUUAGAGCAUAUUUUGAAUGUAAUACUUGUGUGUAUGUUAGAAAGAAAAGGACUUGACUUGACUUGACUUGACGGUUAUAUGACUUUGAUGUGUCUGUAAUGAAUAUGUUUACCUUACUGUUUUUGGUUCUCUUUAAUGUUUAUAUGUUUUCAUAGGUACCUCUGGUAAUGUAAUAUUUGUUCUAUGUGUCUGUCACUAMAAUAUUGUCAUUUUGUCUUUAACUAUCAUGUCACUAUUCGUAUCUUAUCCUAACAUUGUCUUCUUUGUUAUUAUUCUCRUAGUAACAUUAGUUCUCUUGUGUAUUUCUGUUUGUGAAUGGGUUACUCGUGAAUAAGGUUAAUUCACUCCACUUGUCUUUCUAGUUUAACAGAAAUAUUAGUGUUGUCUCUUUAAAUGUUCUCUGUUGAAGUUUUUUGUCUCAAACAAACCUUAUUUCUCUUUUUUAUCUUUAUGUGUCAGAUUGAUAACUCUUUUCUAAGUGUAUUAUGUUUUACUUGUGAUCUGAAAAAAAAAAAAACAUGUUCCAUCAGUUUAGAAUAUCUAACAAUCCUCCUAGAUAUGCUAGUUGAGUGCCCAAAACAUUUUAAGUUUCAAAGCCUUUGUUAAGUGUCACAGCUGAGGGGACAAGACUGCGUUUUCCUGGCCAGAAGGCGAUAGUUUUCUUCCCUCACAACUUGACAUUCUACUGUGACAGAUAAAGGAUAUGUGAAAGAGUAAAUAUUUUACUAUACAAAUUGCAUGUCAUUAGAUCUAGCAGGCUUUUGCCAACCAAUAGAAAGUGAUAUUUCUCACAUAUACUUCAGCUGAGACAUUACACCUAUUCUCUGCUCCUUGCUCAGCAAACUUAGAUCCAGUCCUUUAUAUGGAUACUAAGGAGCAAUUAAAUGCCAUUUUGAAUGUGCCUAUUGGCAAUUUUAGAGUGAUACAGGGUUACACAGUCUCAGAACUUUUGGUUCCACAGACGGUGCAGCCCCCAGUAAUAAAGAUUCUUAUUGAGCUAAUGGUUCAGAAUGUUUUAAGCUUAUUAACAGUAGUACUUCCCCUGAAUAUUCUGAAGACAAACGUCCUGACGACCAAAUAAAUCACSGUCAGUUGUUUCACACUGAAGUACUUAAUGGUGCAUUAGACUUACAGCACCCUUUAGAGGAAAUCUAGUUCAUAGUCCAAUUAAUAACAAGAAGGAUUCURUUUGCUGGUACUGUCAUAAAAACUACAUUUCCCAGAAUCCUCCGUUGCACAAUAUUUCAGAUGUAACUUCUCUCACUGUUUUGUAACUUCCUCUUUUGUCAGSYMGCUGGCUCAGGAAMUUUUAACCACAGCAAAUAUUUUUAACUUUACCAUUUCAUACUCAUCUGUAUUUUUUUUUCUGUAUCUCCUGCAUCUGGAUCUUUUUCACCAACAUGAAGGUAAACUUGAUGCAGUUUGGAUCCAUACCCGAUUCACUCAUUGGUACAGGUUAAAUUAUUUUCAUUAUUCUCUAGACAGAUGUGAAUCUAUUAUUUCAUAUUAUUGUACUGCAUUUGCAGUACAACAAGAGGGGAGUAUUAUAUUGUGGGUUMUGUUGUUGUUACUAUUUUUUCUAAUUAAAUAAGUUUCAGUUAAUAAAAAUGCAGCUUAUGUGCUUGUGCCGCUGCUAAAAGAAAAACUUCUCCCGUAAUCUUUGCACUUGUGUAUCUUGCAUCACAAGYCUGCAAGUGUAAGAAAAUGCAGAAGUGACUUAAAUUUAUUGUUGAUUUUGUCUGAUAACCAGUAAUUUCACUACCAAAUUUGUAGAAAUAAAUGAUGCUACUAWAAUGGGUCUAUGUCAUUUUCAUUUAGGCUAAAAAUAUAAAAAUAUAAAUAUAGAUACAAGAGAGAACUUGUUAAAUGUUUUUCCUGGUUAUGAUUAAUCAAUAUUAUUUUGUUAUAAGAAGGAAACAGUACAGGUUGUAUUUGAUAGUUUACACAAUUAMAUUUUCGAUUCUGUUACAAAUUUGCAAAUAUCACUGAUCUUAAGUGGAGUUGUGUCUUUGUACCAUCCCACUUCCAACAACACAAUUACUGGCAGCAUUUGGUUGGAUUUAUUCCCAGCUGUCCUGUCAAUUCUCUGCAACAAUCCUAUCAGGUGUUGUGGACUUUCUCCAUUUGAAUUAAACACAAGAAAACGAACGUCCUUCACUCAUAUCAUAAAUGUACAACCACUUCUCAUUACUGACAGUUCAUACAGUAGUUUCAUUAGAGUUCUUUAGCUAGUACAUUAGACAAGUCAGUAUUACCAGAACACCAGAUAUUGUCACAUUGUCUCUUUGUUUCCAGGUUGGUGAUCUGAGCAAAAUUCCAUCAGUAGCUGUUGAGAUUAUUCCAAUCCAUUCCAAAUAGAACAGCUAUCAUUGAUCACACCACUCAUUGAAAGAAACUCUACAUACAUACAAAGAGCCAUUUCCAAGUUUGCCAUUCAUAUCUGUGAUGCCUUUACAUCUUUUGCMUAUCCUAAUAUCGAAUCCAUGGACUGAUUAUGAACUCYUAAAAAAAAAAACUGUACAGAGACUGCUGCAUUGACUGAAUACAAGUGACUGUUGAAUAUUUCUUCAUAUGCCUAUCCAAAGCCAUGAUGUCUCUCUGAUUGGACUUUCCCCUAUAAUGAACUGAUGGACUGAUAUUGAAAUGGGUUAAUUUUAAGGUUUAGAUUCAUACAGUAUUGAAUGUGAUAUAGUUAAAUUGUGUGCAAUUUAUAAGAACAAUGGGAAUGUGAUAAUGUAACAUUUUCUCUAUAUGUUUAGUUUUAGAUUAGUUAUGAAAACAACAAAGGUAAAAUUGUAUCUGGUUCAAACAGUUUUUAGAAGGGAAGUUUCCUGCAAUUACUUAUUAUUGUAUUAUUGCCCCAGGUCCUCAGCUCUAUAUGUAGCCGGUUGUGUGUAAACAGCACUGACGAAAAAAAAACAACUGAUAAACCCCAUAAUAAUAGAACUCUGUCAUGUGCUAAUAUUAGUAUUGAGUAGAGUCUAGAUUCCAAGACUAGUCCCGCCCAUAAUGUUAAAUCUAUAAAAAAAAUAUAAAUCUUAUCACCGUCAUAAACUAAGCUCUAUAGUUAGUAUAGAUAUGGGUAUAUAGAAUUUGUGUGAAAGUAGGGAGGGGUGUAUGUAUGGAUGCUGGGUUUUCAUUUGGAGGGGUUGAACUUGAUGGACUAKGGUCUAUUUUAAACCCAAUUUAACUAUGUAACUAUAAACAUAGAGGUUGUUCAAAUAAAUAGAGUAGCUGACCAAAAUAGUAUGAUUUUAGAUUAGCAUGUGUUUUGAUAGGAAAAAGAAGGUUGUACUCAUAUUGUUUCUGAAAUGUUUGUUGAAUGUCAUAUAGUCAAAGUUUUAGAGCUGCAACAAUAAGUGUAAUCUUUUUAUAGAACAGUUCAGUUAUUCCAAAUGAUUAGGUAAAAUUUUAUAGCUGGUUAAACAACUCCAUUGGAAGUUUCAUUAAGUCUAUCCAUGUCAUCCUAGCAUUAAUACUUGGUCUAUAUUUCUCUGUUAGAAUUUGUGCUAUAAGCACCUCCCCCCAACUUCUGCUCUCAUUUGAUUUACAUCUAUAAGAUAAARCUUUUCUCAGCCWUAUGGGGGAGGUUUGAAAAAAAAAAAAAAAAAAAAAAAAAAAAAAA
This 4567-nucleotide small RNA is filed under the name Xenopus laevis (African clawed frog). RNAcentral's name for it is "up regulated post tail amputation-2". Lineage: Eukaryota; Metazoa; Chordata; Amphibia; Anura; Pipidae. The record is from RNAcentral.